GAUGAACGCUGGCGGCGUGCCUAAUACAUGCAAGUCGAGCGAACGGACGAGAAGCUUGCUUCUCUGAUGUUAGCGGCGGACGGGUGAGUAACACGUGGAUAACCUACCUAUAAGACUGGGAUAACUUCGGGAAACCGGAGCUAAUACCGGAUAAUAUUUUGAACCGCAUGGUUCAAAAGUGAAAGACGGUCUUGCUGUCACUUAUAGAUGGAUCCGCGCUGCAUUAGCUAGUUGGUAAGGUAACGGCUUACCAAGGCAACGAUGCAUAGCCGACCUGAGAGGGUGAUCGGCCACACUGGAACUGAGACACGGUCCAGACUCCUACGGGAGGCAGCAGUAGGGAAUCUUCCGAAAUGGGCGAAAGCAUGACGGAGCAACGCCGCGUGAGUGAUGAAGGUCUUCGGAUCGUAAAACUCUGUUAUUAGGGAAGAACAUAUGUGUAAGUAACUGUGCACAUCUUGACGGUACCUAAUCAGAAAGCCACGGCUAACUACGUG
This 497-nucleotide ribosomal RNA is filed under the name uncultured bacterium. RNAcentral describes it as "partial 16S ribosomal RNA". It matches the Rfam family "Bacterial small subunit ribosomal RNA", at positions 28 to 507 of the family's 1533-position model. The record is from RNAcentral.